UCGGGAAUAUUGCGCAAUGGAGGAAACUCUGACGCAGUGACGCCGCGUAUAGGAAGAAGGUUUUCGGAUUGUAAACUAUUGUCGUUAGGGAAGAAAAAAGACAGUACCUAAGGAGGAAGCUCCGGCUAACUACGUGCCAGCAGCCGCGGUAAUACGUAGGGAGCGAGCGUUAUCCGGAUUUAUUGGGUGUAAAGGGUGCGUAGACGGGUAUGCAAGUUGGUUGUGAAAUCCCUCGGCUUAACUGAGGAACUGCAACCAAACUGUAUAUCUUGAGUACAGGAGAGGUAAGUGGAAUUCCUAGUGUAGCGGUGAAAUGCGUAGAUAUUAGGAGGAACACCAGUGGCGAAGGCGACUUACUGGACUGAAACUGACGUUGAGGCACGAAAGUGUGGGGAGCAAACAGGAUUAGAUACCC
This 415-nucleotide ribosomal RNA is filed under the name uncultured bacterium. Its description in RNAcentral is "bacterial SSU rRNA". It matches the Rfam family "Bacterial small subunit ribosomal RNA", at positions 355 to 787 of the family's 1533-position model. The record is from RNAcentral.